RNAcentral lists this ribosomal RNA (639 nucleotides) under Ochrobactrum sp. 8M6. Its description in RNAcentral is "bacterial SSU rRNA". It matches the Rfam family "Bacterial small subunit ribosomal RNA", at positions 34 to 719 of the family's 1533-position model. Lineage: Bacteria; Pseudomonadati; Pseudomonadota; Alphaproteobacteria; Hyphomicrobiales; Brucellaceae. The record is from RNAcentral.
CGCUGGCGGCAGGCUUAACACAUGCAAGUCGAACGGUCUCUUCGGAGGCAGUGGCAGACGGGUGAGUAAUGCAUGGGAAUCUACCAUUCUCUACGGAAUAACUCAGGGAAACUUGUGCUAAUACCGUAUACGCCCUUUUGGGGAAAGAUUUAUCGGAGAGUGAUGAGCCCAUGUUGGAUUAGCUAGUUGGUGGGGUAAAGGCCUACCAAGGCGACGAUCCAUAGCUGGUCUGAGAGGAUGAUCAGCCACACUGGGACUGAGACACGGCCCAGACUCCUACGGGAGGCAGCAGUGGGGAAUAUUGGACAAUGGGCGCAAGCCUGAUCCAGCCAUGCCGCGUGAGUGAUGAAGGUCUUAGGAUUGUAAAGCUCUUUCACCGGUGAAGAUAAUGACGGUAACCGGAGAAGAAGCCCCGGCUAACUUCGUGCCAGCAGCCGCGGUAAUACGAAGGGGGCUAGCGUUGUUCGGAUUUACUGGGCGUAAAGCGCACGUAGGCGGACUUUUAAGUCAGGGGUGAAAUCCCAGAGCUCAACUCUGGAACUGCCUUUGAUACUGGAAGUCUUGAGUAUGGAAGAGGUGAGUGGAAUUCCGAGUGUAGAGGUGAAAUUCGUAGAUAUUCGGAGGAACACCAGUGGCGAA